Molecule: ribosomal RNA, 654 nt
Filed under: Triticum aestivum (bread wheat)
Lineage: Eukaryota; Viridiplantae; Streptophyta; Magnoliopsida; Poales; Poaceae
Description: partial small subunit ribosomal RNA
Source: RNAcentral
AUGGUCGUCUCCCCCUCGACAGCACGCUCUUCCACUGUGUUGCUGCUGAUGGUGCUAGCGCGGCUUGGAUGGUGGAGGACCCCAGGCGAGCAGAGGCUCUGGCCCUGCCCAGGUUGCAGGCUGCUCCUCAUCUCCGGCGACGCCUCCUCCGAGCUACGGUGUUGUUUCCGUCCGAUUUCUGUGGUCAAGGUGGUCUUCUCUAGCGGGUGGUUGAGGCCUCGUGGUGGACACUUUGUCGGCUCCGCUCCGGUCCUGGCGGUCAUGUACAUGCGUUCUCCAGCGUCCUCUGCGGGCGUGGUUCCGUCCCCGGCGGUCCAGUUGUUGCGUCUCUCCGGCCUUUGGCUUGGCGACAUCCCGACGGCUCCGUCCCUAGCAGCUUGGAUAUGUGUUCCUUUUCGGUUCCUAGCUUGUUGGUGGCAUCGGUCGCCAUCCCAUCCUCCGCGUAGGCUCUCUCUGCCUUGCCGCAUUCCGACCCCGUACACCGCCACGGCGUGCCAAUCCCAAAGCUCACGUCUUUCGGCGUUGCCGGGUGCCACCCGCCGGCGGCGCGCGCAACCCAUGAAGGAAAUAUGCCCUAGAGGCAAUAAUAAAGGUGUUAUUUUAUAUUUAUUUAUUCAUGAUAAAGGUUUAUUAUUCAUGCUAGAAUUGUAUUGA